CUGAGCCUCUCUCAUACUCCUGGUCCUGUGAGACUGAGCCUUCCUCCAGAAGCACUGGAGGUCAGGAUGACCUGAGACCUUCAAGGAAGCACAUCAUCCCUGCAUCCUUCCCCCACAUAACUGGUUGAGAAAGCAAGCACAGGCCAGAUCACAGGACCAUGCUCUGGCCUCCCAGAUGGGCUCUCCCUGCAGAUGUGGCCUCCAGAGCCAGCCUUGCACUGCCCCACACCUCUCCAGCUUCUCAAAUCUGUGUCUUUAGACACACAGUGCACAACAAAGGAAAUGAAGGCAGAGAAUAAGGCUUUAACAGAGCUAAGAAAUGCAGUGUUGAGGACACUGGAGAGCGGAAUCUUCCAGAAAGCAGCCAAGUGCUGAGAAGAGAAAUAAGCAGGCCUAAGUAUGGAUCUUUUAAUGAACUUGAAGUACUUAACCCAGCCAUCAAAACUAGGAGUCUCAUUACUGGAUAACCUGGAGAAGAGCUUCCAGAGGCUGCUUCAUUCUGCUGUAGAUUUGAGGUACUGCUUCAAAUUGCUCUGUAUAUCCACUGACAGCACUGAGCUCAUCUGAGUCAGCUCCAUGGGAUGGGCUUCUGUUGGUGUCAGGAAACUGAACAACACCAGGAAAGAAGAGCAGUAAAGGAUCAGGCAG
Zonotrichia leucophrys gambelii is the source of this 648-nucleotide long non-coding RNA. RefSeq lists it as uncharacterized. The record is from RefSeq and is a predicted model, not a curated record. The transcript has 4 exons. NCBI's taxonomy places the organism in Eukaryota, Metazoa, Chordata, Aves, Passeriformes, Passerellidae.